GGUUGGAAGGCACAAACAAUGGUUUCUGUGUUCCAAAUCAAGUUCUUGCAGGGCCUUGGCAUCGGAAAUAUUUUCUGCUACGGACGUGGCAUCAGUUGACCUCGCCACACAGAGUUAAGGAAAAACGACAGCUGUUAUGCAUUGGUUUCUCUUUGGGCUUCCCUUCAGGUGGUAGGACCAAGGUGCAAAUCUGUGUGUGUGGUGAGGGGGGAGUAAUUCUGCCCCUCCACCUCAACUGGACCGAUCCUAUUUGCCAGGCAUGGGUUGCCACCUGAAUGUCGCUGUUGUAUUGGAGUCAUGUCAAUCAAACUGCAUUGGACCGAGACCUCUUGGCUUGCUACUAGGCCCUAUUGAAAAUGGCGGAAGGGUAAGGAGGAGUCUUCAUAUCUCCAGCGAUAGUAAGGCCGCAAGCAGCACUAUGGGCAUGUAGGAAAAGGCCAUGAAUGAGGCUGCCAGAGUCUCGAUCGAGUUUUCUCAGCAGAAAGCAGGAGACAGGCAUUCCACUGACAUGAAUUCACUCUUGGGUCCUGUCCAGGUCUGAAAAGAGAACAGCUCUCGCUCUCUCUCUCUCUCUCUUUUUUUCCCCCAAGAAAGAAAAUCUGUUUUUCUCAGUAUAAUUGGUGGUCUGAGUAGUUGCUGGGCUUUUCAGAAAGAACCUUAGCCGUUUAUCUUCUUUCACAGGGCUUGCGGUGACUCUUCCUAUUACGCUCCUUGCUUUUUUAGAUGACAAAGCAGCUGUUGCAUUCAAAAAGUAAAAUAAAAUAGUUCAUAUGCAGGCAGGACCCUUGUUUGCAUGUUAAUUGCCUUCCCUCAAUAUGGCUAUUAUUUAUUUAUUUGUUAGUUGUCUCACAUUUGUAUUCCGACUUCCCAUCACAGAACACAAGGUGUCAUAAAAGUGGCUUCCAGGCUUUCUGGAUCCUGAGGUGGCAUCCAUCAGCCCUUGCUCCAUUGGGAUCUGAUUGAAUUGCAGCUGACCUGAAAUCUCCAGAUUUGACUGGCUCCCUCCAGGUGGCAUGGGGAGGGUUUGGAUCUCCAGGUGACUGAGAGGGCCUUAAAUUUUUUAAAAUUAAGAAGACUACUCAUGCAGCUUGCAGGCUUCAUCCUGGUAAGAGCCAGAUGCAAAUGAUUGCUGCUCUCCUCUGCUUCUCCCUCCCAAUUAACCUCCGUCUCUAAAUCUUUGCAAAGGCUGUGGGGCAGUUGUCCUCCCUCCUCCCUCUUUCCUGUUCCAAUUAAUCUCCAUCUCCAGGACUCAGUAGGUCAGGGGUCAGCAAACAUUUUCAGCAGGGGGGCCGGUACACUGUCCCUCAGACCUUGGAGGGGGCCGGACUAUAUUUUUUUUGGGGGGGGGGGAUGAAUGAAUUCCUAUGCCCCACAAAUAUCCCAGAGAUGCAUUUUAAAUAAAAGCACAUAUUCAUCUCAUGUGAAAACACCAGGCAGGCCCCCAAAAUAACCCAGAGAUGCAUUUUAAAUAAAAGGACACAUUCUACUCAUGUAAAAACAUGCUGAUUCCCAGACCGUCUGCGGGCUGGAUUUAGAAGGCAAUUGGGCCGGAUCCGGCCCCCGGGCCUUAGUUUGCCUACCCCUGCAGUAGGGGGACAGAGUGCAGAGGAAGAAUCACCAGGGCCUGCCCCCAUUGCAUCACCAGGGGCCACCCCUAGGACUCAGGUUUAGGCCCUGAGAUCUCAGGGUCUUGAACGCUCUUGACCUGGCAGCCCUAUUGCUAUAUCAAGAACACAUUCAUUCAAGCCAUAUAAGUUUAUUGUUCCAGCCAAAGGCCAUGACAAGCCCACAGCAACAGUACCAAUAAAACAAUACAGAUCCUUAAUACGAGCCAACAUCCUUGAUGUCAGAGGGAGGUUGCAGAGACACCGACAAACUCAAAUUCACCUUGAUUUCAUUUAAACCUCUGAAUCACCACAACAAUUUUUUUAGCGAUUUUAUCUAGGUCCUCACCCUGUGUUACGAAGCUACUACUGUCAUUCAAAAGAAACUGGACCAUUUCUGCCAGGGUGUACCUGCUUCCUUGUGUGAUCAAAGGUUUCAGAAAGGGAUCUCUUGGGUCUCUAUACAAGGGACAGGCUAACAGACAAUGAGUGAUGUCUUCCACCUGAGGUUGGCCGGAAAUACAAAAUCUGUCUGCGUACGGGGCCUUGUUGUAGUGGCCCAUCCAAGGCUGUGUUGGGCAUCACUUGGAAAUGCAGCUCAGUAAAGGCUUAAAACAGUGUUUUAAAAGCACCAGUCAUACCACCUUUUAAACCUCUUCUGACCCUGUAUACUUCUUGGAUCAAUAGCAGAAGUCUGCACUCAAUGUUGGCAAUUUGAAAUUUCUCCCACAAGUCUGGGCUUAUCGUGAGCGUUUGUUAAUGGAUAAUCUCUUUGAUUUCUGGGAAAUAGAUUGCUAGCAGGAUAGGAAUUUUGGGCCUCUAACCUGGGCAUAUUUAUUCCAACACCUGCAUUCGGGCCAAUCUUCCCUUCUUAUCUGUUGGAGCAUAUCCAGACAUUAUUAGGAUCUGUGACAAAGGCAUGAGUCUUACAGCUCGAGAACUUCCUGCUCCUUCCUCUCACCCGUUGCCUUUUCCAGACUGCAGUUCCUCUUCUCUAGUAAGGCUCAGGACCGCCUCUCCCCAUAUAAACUCAGCCAAACUCUGCAUUCACCAUCUAAGGCCCUUCUUUGUGUGCCUCCUCCAAGAGAUGUCCAGAGGGUGGCAACACGAGAACGGGGCCUUUUCUGCAGUGGCUCCCCAUUUGUGGAAUGCUCUCCCCUCGCUUCUAUAUCUUCAGGGGGAAAUGUUCCUCUUCGACCAUAUAUUUGUGGGAGGGGGCUAUUGUUUGCUAGUUUUCGUUUCAAUAACUUAUUUGUGUUUCUAUCUUGUAUUUUUAUCUUGGGAACCACACUGAGAUCUUUUGAGGGCAAGUACGUAAAUCUAAUAAAUAAAUAGUCGGUACAGGGAAUGGAUAUUUCUAAAUUGCCAUUGGGCAGGUGGGGGUUAUUUGGGAAACCUUUUAAUUCGAAUAACAGCUCCCUGUCAGCAAAUGUAAAAAUUGGAAAUCCAACAUUUAUCCCAUACAUAUGGAUCCUAAAAUGUUAGUUUAAUACUGCCUCUCUGGUCACAAUUAGACAGGUACCGGUAUUUACAAUGCAGACCAUUUCCUAAAUCCAGGGAAGCCCCUACAAUGGCUUGUAUUCCUCCGUUUAGUUCAGAUUCUCUUAUAAUUUUUCCUCUGGAUUUCUUCACUGGCUGGUUAUGUAGGGACCUCUUUCUAGAAGAAGCAUCAUUGAAAUUUGGACUUUCCCCCUCUGUGUUUAUUACACUGGUACCUCUGGUUGCAAACGGGAUCCAUUCCGGAGGCCCGUUCGCAACAUGAAAAGCCCGCAACCUGAAGCUCCAUAUCUGCACAGGUGUGCAGCGCGAUUUGGUGCUUGUGCGCAUGCGCGAAGCGCAAUUUAGCGCUGCUGUGCAUGCGCGAGCAGCGAAACCCGGAAGUAACCCUUUCUGGUACUUCCGGGUCGCCGCGGGACACAACCUGAAAAAACAUAAUAUGAAGCAAACGUAACAUGAGGUAUGACUGUAAUCCAUUGCUCACUGCCUUUUCCUCCCGUCCGCGGUGGGGCAGGGAAUGUGAAGUUUUCGACUUGCAGCCUGCAGAGCACAACACACUCACAAAAAACACUAGUCUGGAGGGGCUCUGAGUUGCUGCUGAGGUUUACUUGGGUGAAAGGGAGGAGGUUAGUGUCUCUUCCUAUGCUUGGAUGCUCUUCUGCCCCCCGCCCCCAGCCCAAGCAAGUCAGUAAAGAUCCCAGAAUUUCUUCACCUUAUGAGAGCUGAGUGGAUUCAGCACAAAUCUUGAGCGCUGACAUCUCUCUGCUGAACCAGCGGACUUUUGCUAAAGUCUCGUCGAAAUUGGAGACUGGGAAACAUACGGUUAGGUCACAGCGUCUCAAAAAAGGGUUAUCUGAGUACUUUGUCCUCUACAGUGGACCAACUGUGGCAAAACUUUGCGCAGAACAGCUGAGUUGCAAAUGUCAGUUCCCCUGUAAACAUCCGAAAAGGAGGACAAGUCAUUCAUCCUGAAAGAUGAAGUCUCAAUGAUGAAUCUGGAAGACUGUCAGAAACAGGAAUGGAGUCAUCGUCUGUUGUCACUGACUGCUUGCUGGGGCUGAAAGAAUUGCUUGGGCUGCCAGUUAGCUACAGGCAGGCCUAGGUUCAAGGUGCUAGUCCUGGUGUAAAGAGCUCUAUACAGCUUGGGACCAGGCUACCUUACAUCUUAUAGACCAGUUUAUCACUCAACUUAGGGCCUCCUGCAGAUACCAUCUUAUCAGGCAGUCCAUUCCACACAAUGUAGGAAACGGGCCUUUAGCGGGUUGGCACCUGUCCUUUGGAACUCCCUCCCACUGUAUAUCAGAUGGGCUCCAUCUCUGUUGUAUUUUCGGCACCCGCUGAAGACCUUCUAAGCCUUUAAAGCUGAGAUCUUUCCCAAUCCGCAUCUGUGCUGGAAUCAUUUUAGGACGUUUAACAUGUCCGCUAUUCUUUUAUCUCUUGUUGGAUGUCCUGUGUUCCUUUGGAAGGAAAAGGGCAGGAUAUUCAUUUAACAAAUAAAUACCGGGCAGGGCUGGGAGUUCAGAAGGCAAUGUCUUAAGACUGUGUGUUUGCAUAUGCAUGUGGGUGAUUUCUCAGCUGAGACCUGAAGGCGUUUUAACUUACCACAAUUUCUUGACACAGCUGGCUGGUCCAAUAACCAUCAGAUCAGUCAGACAUCUCCCAGAUCUGCCUUGCAUCAGUUGAAGAACUGAUUCCCCUUAACACUCUUGACUCACUUUUCCUUCCAUCAUGUCCAUGGCAUCAUCAUCAUCAUCAUCAUCAUCAAUGUCAGGCUGUUUCGCUGGAAAGUCUUUCUUGCCCAAGGAUCGCUAGGAAUUCUAGUUUGAAGUGGCGCUUAGGAGUCCAAGUUAGAAAACAGUCUUCACUCUCCCAAAACUACACAUCCCAGGGUCUUUUUUGGGGAGGGAAACAAUCAUAGUGGAUUUUAAUUUCCAGCUCAGAUAUGGCUUAAGUCAUAUCUGAGGCAAAACAGAGAGAGGUAAAUUUUAUCAGCUCUAGCUCUGCUGAAAGACUAGAUCCAUAGGGCAGUCUCUACCCUCAAACAGUUCCCAAUCCAGUUGAUCAUAAAAAAAUUAAGAUUUAGUUCCUGUGCUUGCCCCCCCUUUUUUCUGUCCCUUUUCCCUUUUAUGUUGUGUCUUUUCAAUAGCAAACCUGCAGGCUCUCCUUGUUUUAACUGACUGUUGGUCCAGAAGCCAUUCUUAGAGCCUUUUUGGCUGCAAGAUCAGGGUGCAAGCAUCCUAAAUGAUAAAUGUAGCAUAGUCCUAACCUGUUCCCAAGCUUAAAGGGCUACCAGUGGUUCUAGGGUGUUAAAAAUAUUGGCUUGUCCUUUUCGGUUUUCAGGAUUCAGCCAUUGCCAGGGGGCCAGGGGGCGUACAGAAUGGGGGCACACUGAGGAAUUGAUCUGUGGCCUUGCAUGUAUUUGAGAGUUUCUAGGGAGGGCUGUCACAUCAUCUUUCAAAGCUGGCUUGUUUGUUUCUGCUAUCAAGUCUCUCGGGUGCAAGCGAAUAGCGUUUCCUUGAAUUUGCGAUGAGCCAAAAGAACAUUUACUGUGUUACGGAGAAAUGGGGGGCGGAUGCAGUACACGAAAUCCAACCGAGCUCAAGGAACUGGGCUUUCGUUUCGCAGAACAGCGGAGAUAAAAACCACCGAGGAAUCUUAUCAGCCCCACGCACACCAAGAGUGGGGGGAAGUGGGGGCUGGCCUUUGGUUUGACGCCUGUGGGUAGCAGCCGAAAACGGCAUGCUGACGAGAGAGAGAGAGAGAGAGAGAGAGAGAGAGAGAGAGAGACGGAAAUUCAAAAAGCAACAGCCCAAAGUGUUGACAGCCCAUAAGUCAAAUUCUAAACACCAUAUCAGGGCUUU
Podarcis lilfordi (Lilford's wall lizard) is the source of this 5962-nucleotide non-coding RNA. The record is from the annotation of a GenBank genome assembly. Lineage: Eukaryota; Metazoa; Chordata; Lepidosauria; Squamata; Lacertidae.